This 1047-nucleotide long non-coding RNA is filed under the name Corvus moneduloides (New Caledonian crow). RNAcentral describes it as "lncRNA (ENSCMUG00000016660.2)". Lineage: Eukaryota; Metazoa; Chordata; Aves; Passeriformes; Corvidae. The record is from RNAcentral.
CACACAGGCUGGUCCUUCAGCAGUGGUGGCGGCAGCCACUCCAUCAGCUCCAGGAGCCUCGGGAUGGAGGGCAGAGGGGAUCAGAGCAGUACUAAGGGGUUUUUCGGGGCCUCACAUCUCCGGUUAAGAGGGAAGAGACUCUCUGAGAAGUCCACACCUGAGCCGAGCUGGCUGGGGGAUGCAGCUCCUCCCUGUGCAGGGGAUGCCUUGAGCCCUGCUCUGCUCUGCGCUCUGUGGGAGCUGCACUCGUCCUUCCCCACUGGGCUGAGAAUUGCACGUGGAGCUCAGCUUUUGUCUAAAGUCACGGGCUGCAAGAUGUGACAGCUUUUCCUGGCCAAGAUCACGGACAAGAUAAUGUGGAGAUCACUGAGGCCCUUGCAACACCCAAGUCUGUUCAGAGUGAAGACCACAGGAGCAGGUGGUCCAAAGGGGUGAAAGACUUUGAAGCCACACUAAGAAAAAGAAACUGCCUGACGAUGAUCUACAGGACAGGCAAAAUCCAGUGAAAACUGUCUCGGUAAUGAAAUAGCAAAUACUUGUUGAGGACAGGGACAACUGUAGAAAAGUGGAUGUGUUGUAGGACAUUUAUUCCAACUUAUUGUCUCAGUGGAGUGGGCUCCACGCCAUGCAGCUUCAGACCCCUAAUCCCAAACUGGUCAUCCAGACACAUCUGGAAAUGUUAAAUAUACUGGGGAGCAAGGAAGGAUUCCUGGAUUCUGUAUUCAUUUUAGGCUCAGUAUUUACGUAAGAUACUUUUCUUAUCUUCCUGAACUAUUUAUAGUUUUGUUUGUAUGUUUGGGACACAGACUAUCCUACUAUGCUUCAAUAAAUCUGAAAUAUCUUUGCUGACAAAAAGAAAUGUCGUCUGCUGUUCAUGGAAAGAGGGAAAUCUUUGUAUUGAGCUACUUGUGCAGUUAAUAUUUUAGCAAAUGCUCUCUGGGCAGAUGAUGACUCAUAUAAAUUCUUAAUUUUUGUUUCUUUUAUGCAAAAAAAAGAAGCUAAAAAUUAAAUGUUUGAGUUCAAGGCCAUCCGUACUAUGAAAACUAG